This 464-nucleotide ribosomal RNA is filed under the name uncultured bacterium. Its description in RNAcentral is "partial 16S ribosomal RNA". It matches the Rfam family "Bacterial small subunit ribosomal RNA", at positions 28 to 507 of the family's 1533-position model. The record is from RNAcentral.
GACGAACGCUGGCGGCGUGCUUAACACAUGCAAGUCGAACGAUGAACCGGUUUCGGCCGGGGAUUAGUGGUGAACGGGUGAGUAACACGUGGGCAAUCUGCCCUGCACUCUGGGAUAAGCCCGGGAAACUGGGUCUAAUACCGGAUACGACACUCCGAGGCAUCUUGGGGUGUGGAAAGUUCCGGCGGUGCAGGAUGAGCCCGCGGCCUAUCAGCUUGUUGGUGGGGUAAUGGCCUACCAAGGCGACGACGGGUAGCCGGCCUGAGAGGGUGACCGGCCACACUGGGACUGAGACACGGCCCAGACUCCUACGGGAGGCAGCAGUGGGGAAUAUUGCACAAUGGGCGAAAGCCUGAUGCAGCGACGCCGCGUGAGGGAUGACGGCCUUCGGGUUGUAAACCUCUUUCAGCAGGGAAGAAGCGAAAGUGACGGUACCUGCAGAAGAAGCACCGGCUAACUACGUG